ACGAAAGGAGGUAAUUUCAGAAUUAUAUAUCUCUUUAUUGGUAAACUGCAACAGCUGUGUUUGCAGAUCGUUGAAGACGCUGUGAGGGAGUAUGAGUUGCACAACGCUGACAUGGAAAUGUCCGAAGAGUGUGUUCAAACAGAAGCUAUCCAGCCACAGGCACUACACAUCUCCGUUUCUACAGAUAGUGAGACAGCUUUGCCAUCCUGCCCUGUGACAAUGCCUGUUGACCUGAGCUGGCAAGAACAGUUUACGGAGAUGCCUCAGUCCCCACAAGCACCAUCUCCCAUACACAGAUGUGACAAAGGAACUCAGACAGAUUCCAAGAAGAGAAGCACAGGUGUUCAAACUAAGAUGCGCACACAUCAGAAGGGUACGCAGACAUGGUAUAUUCCAUCUGAACCUGCACCCCGUUCUUCAACUCCAGUACAAAUGAAUCACAAGUGUGGAGUGAAAGUGACAGUGAAACAGAGAUACGUGAUCCUCACGGCACUACGUAUGACCCCAACCAAAGCGACCUAAACUUGACGCAGGAUACCUCCCUCUGUGAAAGGUCAUUCAUCGACCACUGUGAUACUGUCAACAGCCACACAGAAAGUAGCAGCGUUACUGAGCACCCUACUAAAGAUGACGGGCACGAAACCAGCGACACUCACCAACACCGAGAGGCAAUGUACAUGGUUUCGGAAACCUGCCUUCUUCAGCUGCUCAAGACUUGCCCAGAAUGUUUGACGACAAAAACUGUGACAGAACUCAACUGCAAGGGCUCGUGCCUACGUGUAACUGUGACAUGCCAAAACAAUCACACAAGGGUUUGGUACAGUCAGCCUUCGCUUGGUGGAAAGCCAGUUGGAAACAUCAUAAUGAGCGCCGCCAUACUUUUUUCGGCAUGUAGCCCUACAAAGGUGUUGCGACUAUUCCACUUCAUGAAUCUUGCCAGCGUAAAGAAGACCCAGUACUUCAGAAUGCAGCAUUGCUACCUUUUUCCCGCAGUCAAGGAGGUAAAGCACAAGUCAUUUUCUAUUUACAGAAAGCAUGAUGGACUCCCUUUAUCUAUUUUUUUAAAAAUUUGCUCUUCCAAGGCAUGGAAGUUGGAGGAAGAAGCCUUGGUGUGCGCCCUCAAGGAAACGCCUCUAACACUUGCAGGCGACGCCAGUCACCAGAGGUAUCCUCCAGCAACCAAAUGGAAAAGGUUGGCCUUGAGCGGGUCUUGGGCUACCUCGAACAACAAGAAAUGACGGUUGACAUGCUGAUCACUGACAGGCAUACUGGGAUUAAAGCACUCAUGAAGACCAAGCCCAUUAAACAUCGAUUUGAUGUGUGGCAUGUAGCUAAAGGCAAGUUUGCGAACAAGGC
RNA transcript from Ornithodoros turicata, 1356 nucleotides. RefSeq lists it as uncharacterized. The record is from RefSeq and is a predicted model, not a curated record. The transcript is spliced from 8 exons. NCBI's taxonomy places the organism in Eukaryota, Metazoa, Arthropoda, Arachnida, Ixodida, Argasidae.